Non-coding RNA from Anas platyrhynchos (mallard), 964 nucleotides. Lineage: Eukaryota; Metazoa; Chordata; Aves; Anseriformes; Anatidae. The record is from RefSeq and is a predicted model, not a curated record.
CCUCAGCCUCCUCAAGGCUGUUUGCACAUCUGUGGGGGCACUCCUGGGCUGCAGGGGAGCAGACUGAGCGUGGUGAUGGGGCCGGAGCCCAACGCAAGAUUCUUGGGUUGCAGACCAAUGCAGGAUUCGGGACCAGCAGGCUUCAGCUGACGGCAGGGAAGUGCAAAUGGGAAGAGCUUGUUUGGCUGUUGCAGGAGACACUUCCAAACGGGGACAAGCUCUCCCCAAAGGCCAGGGCGUGCUCGCUCAGCUUCAUUCCUUGUGACCGUGCUGCUGUGGCUGCAAGAACACCUCGUGUGGGUCGUUCUGCCUCGUUGGUCCCAGCAAACAGUUGGCUGCCUCCUCCUGAGCUUCUCCUGACGUCCCCUGUGCUGGCUCCACGGCCAGAUGCUCCUGGCUACCUGCAGCUAAUGAGCCAGGCUGUGGAUCCUCCGGAUGACUCAAACCGAGCACUUUUGCACCAGGAGGCAGGCUGGGGUAGGUGUGGAGCCCUGGACAGGAGUCAAGGACUGGCAAGACACCAGGAAAAUACCUGCUCAUCCUCGCUGCCUUCGGUGUAGCUAUGAUGACUUGUCCCAGCUGAUGAUCCGGCCCCGAAGCCACAAGGCAGCACCUGAGGCUGAAUCUUGCUGCUCAGUGCCUCUGGUUUCUUUGCGAGAUGCUAGCACAAUGCAGGACAGGCCCAAGCCCCCAAGGGAGCAGACAUUCCCCAUAGACUCACCGAUGCCCAGUCUCUGCCCAGAUCUGCCUCUCCCCUGGGGGACCGCGACAUCCACGCUCCAUUUGUGGCGUGCACGUUGAAGUAAGGGCAGGGUGAAAAACCAAACCAAGCCACAGCCACGCACAGAACUGGAACAGAGCCGCCCAGACGUGGCCUGUGUCCAUCCAGCUGCUUCACCCCAUGAAGCAGAGAGGGUUCCCGCGGCUGCCCGCUGCCCCGGGGAGCUUGCACAAGGGCUGUGGG